GGGCUGUGGCUCAGCAGCAGAGCAUCUGCUUUGCACUCACAAGGUCCCAGGUUUGAACCCCGGCAGCAUCU
Molecule: non-coding RNA, 71 nt
Organism: Podarcis lilfordi (Lilford's wall lizard)
Lineage: Eukaryota; Metazoa; Chordata; Lepidosauria; Squamata; Lacertidae
Source: the annotation of a GenBank genome assembly